AGCCUUUGGAGAGGAUUAAAGGUUAUACCUGCCCAAUGUUGUAUUAAUGGCCGCGGUACUUUGACCGUGCUAAGGUAGCACAAUCAAUUGGCCCUUAAUUAGGGUCAGGUAUGAAUGGAGUUACGGGGCUUAGCUGUCUCUAGACUAUUUAAUUGAAGUUGCUAUAUAGGUGAAAAAGCCUGUAUUAAGAAAAAAGACGAGAAGACCCUUAGAGUUUUACUUAAAAAAGAGUUAUUUCUUCACUAGUUUUGUUGGGGCAACAUAGGAGAAGAACCAAACCUCCUAAAGGAUAUAAACCGAUGUUUUUAAAUAUGAAUAAACUACCUUAGGGAUAACAGCAUAAUUUUAAAAAUAAGUUUGUGACCUCGAUGUUGGACUAGGAAACUUAAGGGCUAGCCGCCUUUUGGUAAGGUUCUGUUCGAACUAUAAUUCCU
RNAcentral lists this ribosomal RNA (434 nucleotides) under Chromodoris magnifica. RNAcentral describes it as "partial 16S ribosomal RNA". It matches the Rfam family "Bacterial large subunit ribosomal RNA", at positions 1817 to 2597 of the family's 2925-position model. Lineage: Eukaryota; Metazoa; Mollusca; Gastropoda; Nudibranchia; Chromodorididae. The record is from RNAcentral.